UCCAGACUCCUACGGGAGGCAGCAGUGGGGGAUAUUGGACAAUGGGGGAAACCCUGAUCCAGCGAUGCCGCGUGAGGGAAGAAGGUUUUCGGAUUGUAAACCUCUGUGGACAGGGACGAUAAUGACGGUACCUGUCAAGAAAGCCACGGCUAACUACGUGCCAGCAGCCGCGGUAAUACGUAGGUGGCGAGCGUUAUCCGGAAUUACUGGGUGUAAAGGGAGCGUAGACGGCGAGGUAAGCCUGAAGUGGAAGCCCGCGGCCCAACCGCGGAACUGCUUUGGGAACUGUUUUGCUGGAGUAUGGGAGGGGUAAGCGGAAUUCCUGGUGUAGCGGUGAAAUGCGUAGAUAUCAGGAGGAACACCGGUGGCGAAGGCGGCUUACUGGACCAUAACUGACGUUGAGGCUCGAAAGCGUGGGGAGCGAACAGGAUUAGAUACCCCCGUAGUG
This 448-nucleotide ribosomal RNA is filed under the name uncultured bacterium. RNAcentral's name for it is "bacterial SSU rRNA". It matches the Rfam family "Bacterial small subunit ribosomal RNA", at positions 330 to 795 of the family's 1533-position model. The record is from RNAcentral.